Molecule: ribosomal RNA, 784 nt
Filed under: uncultured bacterium
Lineage: Bacteria
Description: bacterial SSU rRNA
Rfam family: Bacterial small subunit ribosomal RNA
Source: RNAcentral
CUUAGAGUUUGAUCCUGGCUCAGAUUGAACGCUGGCGGCAGGCCUAACACAUGCAAGUCGAGCGGAUGAGAAGAGCUUGCUCUUUGAUUCAGCGGCGGACGGGUGAGUAAUACCUAGGAAUCUGCCUGGUAGUGGGGGACAACGUUUCGAAAGGAACACUAAUACCGCAUACGUCCUACGGGAGAAAGCAGGGGACCUUCGGGCCUUGCGCUAUCAGAUGAGCCUAGGUCGGAUUAGCUAGUUGGUGAGGUAAUGGCUCACCAAGGCUACGAUCCGUAACUGGUCUGAGAGGAUGAUCAGUCACACUGGAACUGAGACACGGUCCAGACUCCUACGGGAGGCAGCAGUGGGGAAUAUUGGACAAUGGGCGAAAGCCUGAUCCAGCCAUGCCGCGUGUGUGAAGAAGGUCUUCGGAUUGUAAAGCACUUUAAGUUGGGAGGAAGGGCAGUAAGCGAAUACCUUGCUGUUUUGACGUUACCGACAGAAUAAGCACCGGCUAACUCUGUGCCAGCAGCCGCGGUAAUACAGAGGGUGCAAGCGUUAAUCGGAAUUACUGGGCGUAAAGCGCGCGUAGGUGGUUCGUUAAGUUGGAUGUGAAAUCCCCGGGCUCAACCUGGGAACUGCAUCCAAAACUGGCGAGCUAGAGUAGGGCAGAGGGUGGUGGAAUUUCCUGUGUAGCGGUGAAAUGCGUAGAUAUAGGAAGGAACACCAGUGGCGAAGGCGACCACCUGGGCUCAUACUGACACUGAGGUGCGAAAGCGUGGGGAGCAAACAGGAUUAAGCC